AUGCAAAGACGAUCCAAACCCCUGUCUCUUUAUUGCUACACCAACAUUGCACACAGAAAAAAGCAGCAUGCCAAGAAACCCAAAUACGAUUGGCUACGGCCUACGGCCAUGCCAUGCAUGCACGCUAACACAACGCACGGGCGGGCAGCUAGCCUGCUUGCCGACCACCGAACCAUCAGAUCAAGCGGAAGCGGCGAAGCCCUCCUCCUCGACGGCGGCGUCCACGGCAGCGUCGGUGCCCUGGGCGUUGGUCCUGAAGCAGCUGAAGCGCCGGAUCUCGCCCACGUUGCCGGCCGGCUUGGGCACCCUGGCGAGCUUCUCCAUGGACCUGGCGAACUGCCCGAAGAAGGCCUCCUUGCUCUCGGCGAACCGCUUCACGAUGGGCGCGGUGGUCUUGUUCUUCACGAGGGCCAUGUCGGAGGUGAACACGCCCUGGUUGAAACCCAGCGCCUUGUAGUACGCGUUGUCGAACAGGUCCGGGGUGAUCACGUCCAGGUUCUGCAGCCGGUCCGGGUGCUUGCUGCAGUUGGCGGCGAGCUUGCGGGAGAAGGUGUCGUCGGCGCGCUGGGACCGGUCUUCGAAGCUGCCGCACUGCGACCGCCCGAUGGUGUGCGCGCCGGAGAGCGCCACGAGGUCGGCCACGUCGCCGAGGCCCCUGGUGCCGAAGGACUCCACCAGCGUCGCCACGCUGGCCGUGUUGGGCGCCGGGAGGUCGAACACCUUGGCCUGCGCCGCGGGGGCGAGGCUGUCGAGGUUUCCCUGCGGCACGUUGAACCAGGGCCCGCCGGAGAUGACGAUGAUGUCGCGGGUGGCGAGCAGGGUGAUGUCGGCGCAGGAGACGACGGGCCCGCACACGGCGUGCGCCCUGGCGCGGAUGGACUCGAUGAGCUGCAUGGCGCGCGGCUGGAUGGUGAGGUUGGGGCCGAGCGCGGUCUCGCGGGCGGCCGUGUUGUUGAGGAGGAUGGAGGCGUCGCAGCCCUGCGGGAAGCAGUCGUGGAAGUAGAGGCGGAGCAUGCCCGCCGCCACGGCCACCUCCUGCCGCAGCGCCGCCUCCACGGACGACCACACGAUGCCGUCCAGCUGCGUGCACGACGCCGCGUGGAAGUCCGGGGAGGCGUCGCCGGUGAAGACGGGCAGGGACAUGGCCGGGGAGAGCAGCGCGGCCGCGGUGACCAGGACGGCCAGUAUUGCUGA
This 1194-nucleotide ribosomal RNA is filed under the name Triticum aestivum (bread wheat). Its description in RNAcentral is "partial small subunit ribosomal RNA". Lineage: Eukaryota; Viridiplantae; Streptophyta; Magnoliopsida; Poales; Poaceae. The record is from RNAcentral.